RNAcentral lists this ribosomal RNA (497 nucleotides) under uncultured bacterium. Its description in RNAcentral is "partial 16S ribosomal RNA". It matches the Rfam family "Bacterial small subunit ribosomal RNA", at positions 28 to 507 of the family's 1533-position model. The record is from RNAcentral.
GAUGAACGCUGGCGGCGUGCCUAAUACAUGCAAGUCGAGCGAACGGACGAGAAGCUUGCUUCUCUGAUGUUAGCGGCGGACGGGUGAGUAACACGUGGAUAACCUACCUAUAAGACUGGGAUAACUUCGGGAAACCGUAGCUAAUACCGGAUAAUAUUUUGAACCGCAUGGGUCAAAAGUGAAAGACGGUCUUGCUGUCACUUAUAGAUGGAUCCGCGCUGCAUUAGUUAGUUGGUAAGGUAACGGCUUACCAAGGCAACGAUGCAUAGCCGACCUGAGAGGGUGAUCGGCCACACUGGAACUGAGACACGGUCCAGACUCCUACGGGAGGCAGCAGUAGGGAAUCUUCCGCAAUGGGCGAAAGCCUGACGGAGCAACGCCGCGUGAGUUAUGACGGUCUUCGGAUCGUAAAACUCUGUUAUUAGGGAAGAACAUAUGUGUAAGUAACUGUGCACAUCUUGACGGUACCUAAUCAGAAAGCCACGGCUAACUACGUG